GAAAAGGAAGCCAGUGUGCGCAGAAGCAAAGAGGAAUAAAUGCGCAGAAGCCUUCUCAGAGUGGUGUCUCAGCCCUGGAAGCAUUUCUCAAUGUCUCCUGCCUUCUCCUUCAAAAGUGCUCUCCCGAGAGCGCUGAGAUAGACCGGCCUUCGAUUCCGAGGGAAGACACAGGGCUGGUUCUUAGGAAGGCACUGAGUGAGGGCCCGUGGGUGAUGCUCUUUCCCCUGGCUACCAUUCUCUAUCCACUAGAGGUCUACGAGUAUUUUUUUUUUGGACUGCAAUGUUCCCAAGGGUUUCAAAAGCUAUGGUGCCCAGGAAUUAAAGAUUUGCCUGUGUGACACAGCAGGUAACAGACCCCAAAUGCAUGCGUGUUGAGCUCCUACCUUGUUCUGCCUCAUAAGCCCUUGAAGUUGCAUCACCUGACACACGG
This 430-nucleotide long non-coding RNA is filed under the name Fukomys damarensis (Damara mole-rat). RNAcentral describes it as "lncRNA (ENSFDAG00000022779.1)". The record is from RNAcentral. Lineage: Eukaryota; Metazoa; Chordata; Mammalia; Rodentia; Bathyergidae.